UUGAGCCUGUGGCGUCUAGGCUCGACUCGCUGCGGUUGGUGGAGGUGACGGAGGUUGCAGCUUGGCCAGCAUGGUAGAAAGGUGGCAGGGUAGGUGAGCUAUCCAGCGAUGCACUACCCUGGAUAGGAGCACUAUCAAGGUCACAUUGCUGGCACAUCUGGCUUUUACCACCCAGAUGCUUCGAGCCAGGAGCUGGAGGAGUCAUCUGUUGCACCCUGGAGGCUGGAGCCUGCAGAUGGCAUGGUUCUGUGGCUCCCCUCGCUGCAGUUGGUGGCAGAGACAGAGACUGCAGCUUGACCGGAGUGGUGGAGUGAGUAUUGUCAUCUGCAUGAGCAAAUCUGGUUCAUCACAUCUUUGCAACAGGAAAAGGAAGGGAGGAUCAUGUGUAUAAUGUUUUAAGGCCAAGAUUCACAGCAAGAACAAAGUCUUUAUUAACUUUUGCCUUCAAGAACCUGCAGU
Molecule: long non-coding RNA, 459 nt
Organism: Gorilla gorilla gorilla (western lowland gorilla)
Lineage: Eukaryota; Metazoa; Chordata; Mammalia; Primates; Hominidae
Exons: 3
Source: RefSeq, a predicted model, not a curated record